CAUUUACAUUGGAAUCACCACUGGAUGCCUAUUUCUCAAGCUAGUAGAAGGGUUAUAAUACUACAGUAACUAUACAAUGAAUCGGAUAUACAUAGAGCUAAAGUUAAAAACAAAUAGAAUAUGUACUAUACAGUUUUUUCUUAACAUUCUGCGAGAAGACUAUCCUUCAACCAUUGGGUACCUUCUUUCUCUUCGUAAAUUGUUGAAGCACGUUCUCC
This 218-nucleotide unclassified non-coding RNA is filed under the name Hevea brasiliensis (rubber tree). Lineage: Eukaryota; Viridiplantae; Streptophyta; Magnoliopsida; Malpighiales; Euphorbiaceae. The record is from RNAcentral.